Long non-coding RNA from Capsicum annuum, 856 nucleotides. RefSeq lists it as uncharacterized. The record is from RefSeq and is a predicted model, not a curated record. NCBI's taxonomy places the organism in Eukaryota, Viridiplantae, Streptophyta, Magnoliopsida, Solanales, Solanaceae. The transcript has 3 exons.
UUUUGUUGUAGCAAUUUUACUGGUGGGAUGAUAGGAAUAUAUUUCUUAUAAGGAGGAAUUUUUUCAGAAGAUGUAGAGUCAGGUUUAACGGUCUGUUGGAUUAUGCCUGAACCAAGUUGGUAAAACCUAAUUGGAUUAGUGAACCUUUAUGCAACUGUAUCACCGCCUUUGGAAUAGUGAAGGAUACCAGUUGCUGAGGGAAAAAGGAAGGAAAGCCCAGGCAUCAUCGAAGGGUGGCUCCCUACAUACUGUGGGUGCCAGAAGUACCCUUGCUGUGUAGGAAAAAUUGGAAAAAGAAAAGGGUAGGAAGAUACCACACGAUGAGCUAUUCGAGGAGACUCAUCUGAAGAAGAAAAAGAACCCUACUGAUGAAGAUGUCUGGGUUGAACCUCAUGCAAAAGAUGUCCAUGACAAAUAUAGGCAGCUCGUUAGUGAGUAUUGUAGUACUCAGUCGUUUGAAACUCAGGGUGACCUACUACCCGACAUGUAGAGGAGGAGUUAUUAGGAAAAGUUGUGGGUCCUAUCGUUAGAGGUCAUUACUACGGAUACCACAAUAUUUUUUUUGGCGACAAUAUUAGGUGUUCGUUUGGCCCUACUUACUCUAGAUUGAAAGACUAGAAAGUACGGUUUCUAAACUUAUUUAAGAGCUUGCUGAAUAGAGAGAGAGGUCGCAGAAAAGGGAGGAGGAACUUCAUCACAAAUCAUGAUACUGCAGGAGCAGUUCAGCUCUUUCAUUUAGACUGCAGGGAUUAUUCCUUCGUGUCCUGGUGAUGCUGUUCGGGCUGCAAAAGGACUUGGCCCCCAGGAUAAUAUCAGCACAGAUGAGGAUAUGGAAGACGAGGAUGAGGACGAAUUC